Molecule: long non-coding RNA, 248 nt
Organism: Girardinichthys multiradiatus
Lineage: Eukaryota; Metazoa; Chordata; Actinopteri; Cyprinodontiformes; Goodeidae
Exons: 3
Source: RefSeq, a predicted model, not a curated record
AGCUCUCUUACAUCAGAGACAGACUCGUAUCUGUGACUUGGACUCGAGAACAAAGGCUUUAGACUUGACUUGGACUCUAUAAUAAAAAUGGAAGAACGGGGAAAAAACAGGAGAGACUGCAGCGUCUGAAACGUCAUUGAUCUCAGCUGUCAGGCACAAAGAGCUGCGGGAACCAGCAUGUACACAUGUUUGUGUUUUGGUACCACUGAUUGACAGAGGAUGUAGCUCCAAGGUCAUAUUUCCAAAGG